GUUUGUUCCAGAUUUGCGGUGCAUAGAAGCUGAAUGCUGCUUCUCCAUGUUUGGUUCUGGUUGUGGGGAUCCAGAUUAGACCAGAACCAAAAGACCUGAGAGGUCUGGAAGGCUGAUAUGACAACAAUAACAAAUCUUUAAUGCAUUGUGAUGCCAAGUGAUUUGUCAACUAACGGAAGUAUUAUUGUGAUGCGAAAGUCUGAAGUGAAAAAACUGCUUGAUAAUUUAGACGUGUGUAGACACGUCUAAAUUACCCCUUUACCCCAUGCUCCUAAAAAAAUCCAGUGCAAUCCAUCCUUCAUUAAUCAUCCAAUAAGUAAUGAGAGUCUCACUGUGAGUUGUUGUUCUGAAGGCCUCAGAAGUUUAUCAGAGAACAAUAGAGGACCACCAGCAUCAUGGCAACCCAGCUCUUGGCCUAGGUCAUACAGAUGGUUGCUUAUUGUGGCAACUGCUGGAAUAAUUGAAAUAUAUAUAUAGCCCCCGAGGGACGGGCCUAAGGCACCAAAAUGGCCGGCGCAAGGAACACAGCAGACGGGUCAGAGAGAAAGUUAUUACAGAGUGCAUGGCACAGCUGCCAACGCUACAUGACUUGGCCUUCCACCAAAAAUGACAGGCAGGGAAAGGAGAUCAUUAACUGCAGAAGUAGCCAAGACCAUCAUUAUAAGCUGCAGAUAUCCACAACUCAGGUGGAAGAAUUUGGUCACAGGACCUCCAUUAGGCAUUAGGCUCCACAAAUCCAAUAAAAAAAAAAAAUUUGCUGUUGCUGAGAGAAACAUGGCGGUCACUGAGAGUUACAAUGAGGAGGUUUAUUGAUGUGCGUUCAGUCUGACUCAGUUUAAACUGUUUCACAAGAAGGAUGGAAGAAAUCUUUUGAUCUGUAGCUGUGCAAGGCAUGUAGAGACACCCCAAAAGACCAGCAGCAAGCUAACUAGCUAAUGGAAGUAAAAGGCAGUGAUGUUUUUAUUUGUGGAAAUUGUCAACAACACACAGUUUUCCUUCAUUUUCUCAUGAUCCAUGUUUUUCUGUGUCUUGUAUGUCGUCUGGUUUUAGCUUUCAGUCGUUUUUGGGGUUGUGACAUUGUGCAUUUCAUACCCGAUUUACUCUUUCGUCUUGUAAUGCGUAAUACUUCCUUCCUGUUCUUUGCUUUUGGUUCUGUUAACCAAUAGCAAAAAGUACAUAGCCCCUCGAUUCUUCACUUUCAGAUUAGUCUCACCUGGUUGUCAUUCAGUCAACCUUCCCAGCAGUUAACAGUCAGCCAGUUUCAUCAGAUUCUUUGAUGCUGGUUUGCCUGUGUUCCUGUCAACGCUGCUUUGCUGUUAGAAACCGCGUUUCCUUUACAGAAGUCCACAAAACCGUGUAUAUCCCACUAAUGUCAAAAACACACAAUUUUGCUGUUUUCUUAACUAAGGUACAGAAUUACAAUUCUACAUGAAUAUAUUUGUCAUUAAAAGUUAUGCUGCUCAAUGAUCCUCCAACCACUUCCUGUUCUUCUUCAUGGUUUAUGCCAGUGGCAACGUACGAUUGUUGAUUAUGUGAUACGAAAAAAGUGUCUCCGUUGCAGGUUUGCGAAAUAAACCAAAUACAAUAAAGCCAAAACGACCUCAUCCUAGCGACAAAACGUUUCAUCAAAAAACAGUUUCUGUUUCCGUUAAGCGAAUUUGUUCUCGAAAUGUCAAACUGCGCAAUGGAAACGCAGCUGGAGCCACAUUCUCCCCUGAUCCUCUCAUGCUUGUUCCUCCUCUUUUGUACAUUUCCUUUUAAAUCACCAUUAUCUGCAGCGUGAAACAGCCGCUCUCCAGCUUGCAUUUGGGUCCAACUCAUCAACGGAACAUGACACACUUUAAAAUUAUGCGCAACUUUGUGCUGGGGUAUCUCAGGGGUACCUGACGGCAGUCCUCGAGUUACUACGCUAAGACUUUUAGACGCUUCCCUCCUCCUGCACACCUGAAUCAAAUCAAUGGUUCAUUACUAGGCCUCUGCAGAGCUGAAUGACGGCUGAUGAGGGAAUUCAGCCGUUGGUUUCGGGGGUGUUCAAGAAGCGAAUGAGAGCGCUUUUCGAGGAGUGCACUUGAACAUUUUAACUCCUUAUUAUCAAAAGGAUCAGCUAAACAACCGCAGUAAAGGCAGAGUCAACACGUGACUGUGUCUCCGGUGCAAACACGACAGUUUCCUUGCUCCGCUGCAGCCCUGUGCCAUUUCAAACCCAAAGCAGCUCUUUCACUGUGUUUGUUGAGCAGUCUCUGUAGAAAUGUGGCCACAAACACUCUGACUUUCCCACAGUUACAGCACUUGUGAAAGUAUUCGGCCACUUGGAUGUCUUAUUCUUCUAUUGCUUUAUGUAGAUUUGUUAUACAUUUGUAUUUACUUGUCACUGAAAUCAGUUUUUAUUUCAACAUCAAUUUUUUUUGUCAUAAAGAUAAAAUUUUGUUGAUCAUGAUUGACUUAUUUGCAACAAAAAGAGUCAAACAUCCAAGGCGGUGAAUGCUUUUGUUAGCCGCUGUAUUGUGCGACACCACUCUAUUCAACGCAGCUGUAUAGAAAACUGUCUAAAUGUCAUGACCCCAUCCAUUUUUAGCCACGGAAAGUGAUUUUUCUUCAGUUGUUGUGUAGGAAAAAAAAUAAUAACUACAUGGUGGAAUACCAUCUGGGCAUUUUGUGGAGUUGCUGUGAAACACAAACAAAAAGAAAAAACAUUAUUUUGAAGCCAGAGGGGUUUGGAGAUGGAGAGCGACGUCAGCAUCGAUCUAGAAAGUUUGUCUCCCAUCUAGAGGUGGGUAGUAACUCAUUACAUUUACUCAGUUACAUUUAUUUGAGUGGCCAUGUUGUUGUGAUGACUUCCUGAAGGUUGGAAAGAGCAGGAGCUUCUUAAAGAGAGAGAGACGCCCAAUUUCAAAGCGAUAUACUGUAAAGUCAAAUUCCUUUCAAGCCAUGUUUGAUGUAUACCGCACUUUCAUAAUAACUGAACAUAACAUAGUUACUAGAACUAUGUGCAUAGAAAACCCAUAAUACUGCUGUUGGGGUUCUGGGGUUGUUCUCCCAUUCUUUGUCCACCAGAGGGGGCUGAGAGGCGUUUCUCCUGGAGGGUGUGUCCAUGAUGAUGCUGCACGCACCUGCAGCAUAUUCCUCAUCAGUGGACGGGUAUAUCAACAGGGAGCUGUUGGUACUUCGAUGCCUGAUUGUUGAUCAGUAAUGAUUUAUCCUUGUGCAGAACGAGACGAUUUACCUACCUACCUGUCUGCUCCUCCUCCUCCAUCGCCAACUCAGCCCGCCGACCCCGGAGCCUCAAAUUUCCCCCUAUACACCUGGACCUCCUCUUACAAGAUCCCCAGAGACCCAGCCAGGCAGUUCUCCGCUUCAGAACCCCCUUUCCAUUACCUGUUUGUUUUCAAUAAAUAUACACCUUUUCUA
Poecilia reticulata (guppy) is the source of this 3408-nucleotide long non-coding RNA. RefSeq lists it as uncharacterized. The record is from RefSeq and is a predicted model, not a curated record. NCBI's taxonomy places the organism in Eukaryota, Metazoa, Chordata, Actinopteri, Cyprinodontiformes, Poeciliidae.